Molecule: long non-coding RNA, 6309 nt
Organism: Rosa rugosa (rugosa rose)
Lineage: Eukaryota; Viridiplantae; Streptophyta; Magnoliopsida; Rosales; Rosaceae
Exons: 3
Source: RefSeq, a predicted model, not a curated record
GACAAACUUUGGAUCCCUAUAAGCAUAGUGGGUGUUUGGACAACUGUCUUGUGAAUUUCUUUUAGUUGUCCGAGUGAUGUUGAUUGUUGCUCUCAUGGUAGACUUGAAAUGUCAUUUGACAACUCUAAAGGAAUUUGACUCAUUAUUCCGGGAAGAUCCUGUCGAGCGCAACUCGUUGACGCUUCUCGUGCCUCAGGGGUAUGAGUCAAGGAAAAGUGGAUCUUCAGCUACUUAAUCUACUGAACAGCGGAAUGAAAUUCCUCGCUGGGACAUGUCGACUUCGAAAUUAAGUAAGAGGGAUUUAAUUGUGCUUUAGUACUCGCCGUUUGACGUUGCUUGUGAAAUUUUAGGAUUGUAAAAUCUGAAAGCAUGGUUUCGGCAAGUGGUACCAUAUAAGGCGUUGCUUUGGGGUAGCCGAGGAAGCUACGCGAUUAGAAGAUUUAUAGGUUUGACUUAGGUCACCCUAUGUUAACUUUGUAGUGUGUAGACCUCCUCGGAAAUGCUUUAGCAAGUUAAUGCGUAUUCAGCAUGGGCCGGAAGCGUAUCAUCAGGGAAGAAGGAAAAGAGGUGUGUGUCCACUGAGCGACCUCUAUGGUGACUUCUUGAAUUAUGUUUCUUCGACUCACUCGUAUGUGCGGCAGAAACUUCGUGUUAAUUAGAGCUAUAGUUGACUCGAGUUUGUGGACGUCGAGAGUCGCGUACGUACGAGGAAAUAAGGCUACUUUGUUUCGUGGACCAAAUGGCUCGACUCUAGGUGGAAGGUCAUGAAGUAAGACGUCUUUCAAGGUAGGGCAGAUGACUCUCUAGGAUUCUGGCCGUCUACAACGAUACGUACUACUGGUAAGAAUCCUAGAAGGACUGCGAGUAUUUCUUCCUUGCUAAUAGUUACGUUGACUUGUAUUCCCUUGUUUUGGUUGAUGUUGUUUUAUGAUUCUCCAACCUCAUUAAAGUUCUGGUUGGUUGAAAUCAUGAUAGUUCAACGUUGAAACCUCUCCAUUUGAGUUGUUUCCAAGGUUUAGAAACUCUUGUGUUUUGAAAAGGUUUUUCGGGUUGCAAAAGUAUUUCGAGUAAAGUGAUUUCAAAGUUAUUUUCAAAAAUUGUUUUCAAUUCCAACAAAUUUCACCCAAAGGUGAGAAAUUUUAACCCUCCGACUCAGUUUCAAAGCUGAGAUUCUAAUCUCAGAGUUCUGCUGAUUUUCCGUUGCAGCAACUUUGGAAUCAGUUUGGAAUGACUUAUAAAACUCUGAAAAUUUUGAAAUUUUAACACCACAAUGUUCAGCAUCUUGGCCAAUGAUAUGGAGGAUUUCACUUCUUUUCGACUGGACAUGAAGUCGUGGCAAUUUUUCCAAAUCUGCUUUACGAGAAAGGAAAACUUGGAAACUCUUCUGCAAGUUGUUUUGGUAAAAAUUUUCACUUCCUUUCUCUUCCCUUCUUGGAAGUUUACAGUUGUGGUAUUGGAAAUCAUUUGGAAUUUCCUAGAGCUCAAAUUCCUUUUCUUAGGAAAUUUGUAAAACGAAGUUUUGAGCAUUAUUUUCGGUUGCUUAUCCAUAUAAGUCAAGUUCAACGUAAACUGUAGUAAGGGAGGAUAUUCUCUACACUACUAGACGAUCGGCAACCGAAAGGCAAGAAAGAGACGUGCAAGGAACGAAAGGCGGAAAGCCUACAUUACCAUAAUCGGGAACGCAACUUGCGACUUCAGCGACAUGGCUUGACAUGGUCUGAACGACGGGUGAUCUGGAAAAGUGUUUUGACGUCAAGUACGUUAUGAGUGUUGUUCAUGGUUGUUUAACCAUCAGCUCCUCUAAUUUUGGCGAUGCUUUCGAAAUCAACGUUGUGCUAUGUGUGGAAGCGUGUGAGCCUUCAGUCUUCAAGAGAUAAACCUUUGACGGUGAUCCUCGAAUUUCAUCAGAUAGUGACGGAAGUACUUGUUGAAUCUCAUUUUCAAGACUGAUCAUCAGUUCGUCGAACUAGUGUCCAAAGAUCCGUUGGCACGUGGCUGUUGCAGGUAGGGCAACAUGAUUCGAUGUUGGUAACACGACGCAUAUCGUCCGCGUGGUUGGAAGGAGUGCUUCGCUUUUGAGCUCGUGGAAUGGACGCGUUAGCCGAGAUGGCGGUCAUAAACGAAUACGUAACGAACUCGGGUGCACUACGAGAAAAUUUGUCAAGUGUCGUCACAUGGCAAUUCGUGGAAUACCUUUUAGAAAUCGGCUGUUAGGUUCUGUCGUGCUUUUCUCGUAUAGCUUGAUUAGAAGGACGGAUGCUCAGCCAAGUUCGCGUGUAUUUGUCCUUCUGAGGACAAUGACAUCUUCCACGGUGAAUUGCGAAUUUCAUGUUAGUGACGACGACGUCUACUUGUUGUUCAUAGUUGAUGGGAGUUCCAUGAGGGGAACAUAUUUAUACCUACGGGUAGUUGCGUAGGUCUAUGGUUAAGUUCAAAUUCCCGAUUAACGGUGUACUUGUAGUAAGCGGGAAUUGGAUGGAGACGUAAAUCGUCUACGAGUUGCCAGCUGUGGCAAUAUUGAGUUAGGGUGACAGGGUUGGUAGUUACCCAGAUUUAAUUAGUACAGACAUGAACUGUCUGUGGAAAUGCCAAGUAUGGCAGUGUUAUGAGGAGAGUGAUAGAACGGUUAAUUGCUCAUUCUGGUUGUUAUAAGAAAAAUCUUGUGGGUACAGAAGAAUAAAGUGAAAUGGAGCGAAGUGUAUUCUGUUGGUGAUAAAUAAGGAACACUUGGUAAGAGAAAUGCUAGCUCCUGUGUUGACAUGUAUGACUAGUGAUAAUCCAGUUGUACCACAAGAACUCGGAAUGAGAAAUUGUUGUGGGUACUGGAGUCCGACAUGAAAAGUGAAGUAUGGUUGACCGUUUGACCAAUCCUGAAAUUUCGAGGACGAAAUUUAUUUAAGGGGGGUGGAACUGUGAGCCCCGGAAAAUUUUUCAAGCUUAAAUUGAGAUCGUUCGACAAGUUAUUUAUUUACGAUCUCGGUAAUUGUCAAAGUGCUCGAGAAUAUUUUCAGAAUUUUACACAAAGUGAAAUCCUCAAUUUAGAAGAUGGAUGGUAAAGUACGGCACGACGAGUUCGUGAAAAUUUUCGGUUAAGUUCGGAAUUAAAGAUUCUUGUUGGGCUUUAGUAUGGUCUGGUACAAGUUGAGUUUAUCAAGGUUUUGAGUUAGCCCACGUUAUUAAACUUAGUGAGGGGUUUAGCUAGAACAGUAGCUCACUUAAGAGUGCAUGAGCUGCUUGAGGUGUGUGUCUGAGACUUAACCACGUGCCUAGAGACUAAAUCUUACACCAACACGUCGACCGACCUUUUCUUUCCCUUUUUAGACUCUCUUAACGACACCUAGACGUCCACCAACAACAAAGCACAAUUCAGACCAGAGCUACUAUCACCUGAUCAACCAACUCCAUCAAUCUCAAACUUCUCCUUUGAUACUUCUCGUUGAGCACCACAGAUGAUACUCGUGGCUACAACCUUAAGGGAGAUCAUGGAAGAGUUAUCUGGCAUAUGAGAUUAGUUGAUUAAGACUUUGGAGUUGAAUUAACCCAGUUGAGGUUGGACAGAAGAAGAAAUAGGAUUUGGAAGUGGCUUCGAGUGCUCGGAGUCGGAAUUGGAAUUAAAAAGAGCUUUGGGCAGCAGUGAUCCCGCUCACUAGUUUGAUCGAGGAGGUAAGCUGUCAAGAUGUAAUCAUAUUCAUGGUUUAUGGUUCAUGCAUGUUGAGGUGGUGACGUCUUUGUGAGAAUCUUGGAACAAGUUUAGUUGGUUUAACUGCUUGCUGUUAAUUAAAGAAUAAUGAGUGGGUUUGCUUGUUGACAAUUGUGGUGCUAUGAUGAUUGGUUCAAUUAUGGGUAUAAACUUGCAGAAACGUUGUCUGAAGGUAUACUUGGAUAUCUGGGUAAGCUAGACCUUACUUGGAUAUCCAGGUGAGCUAGACCUUACUUGGAUAAUGGUAGAAGUAAAGUAUUGUUGAUACCUUAAUUAAAUGUUGAAGGCUUUGUAUGGUUUUGAGAUUUCAUUUAGUUGCAUGUUUGAAUUGUGGCUGUUGUGAUAAGAAAUUGUGAAUUGGUGGUGAAAUAAUUGGAAUAAGAUUGGUUGGGUGUCCAUAGUAAUUUCGAUUACUAUGUGACGAAAUUGUUAGAGGAUACUCGAAUUUAUUUGUUCAUGAAGUUGGGAAUUUGAUGUAACAUUCGGUUGCUUGAGUAUUAUCGGAAAGGGUAAUAAGUACAGAGAUGAAAAGUAAUAUAUUGGGUGGCCUUAGUAAUUUGGGUACACUCAAUGUAUAAACAUGUGUAUUUGGUCGACAUUACCAUUUAAAUGGUCGGUAAUCUGGGUUAAUUAUCGAACCUAUUACAAUUGGUCAAACGUUGGUCAAACAAUGGUAAAAACGGUCAAUCCUGGUCAAACCAGGAAAGGUUGGUCAAACCUUGGUCAACUCCUGGUCCAACCAGGAACAGUUGGUUUAGACGAUUUAUUAAUCGUCGAUAUUUCAUAUAAUUGUUCAAUAGAUUAUUAACGGUCGAAAUGUCGGAAUCUAGGACUCCAGUUACCCGAAGAACAGAAGGUUCGCGACUCUCGGAGUACGUGAGAGAAAGCAUCGGAAUCCAGUAUGAAUGCAGGUACUGUGCACUGGUGACGGGACAAUAGCGGAUGGAGCUGGGUGUGCAGAACAAGUUCGGUAAAUUACCGUGUGAACCUUAUUCUAAAUUCUAUUUUUCGAACUUGUUGUUAUCUAGUCUCGUGUCAUCAUUUAGUUGAAUUCUCUUCAAGUGAAAUUCAAACCUUGUGUGAGCCUUCAUCCAAGUUCUGGACGAUUGAAAUAGAUUUCAGCAACUCAAGUUUUUCACCUCAAGAAUAUUUGUAGCUUCCGCUGUGUUUGUACAAAAAGUUUUUCAAAUAAAAUGCCUAGCGGUUCUCUAGGGUGUAAAUCGAGCGUUCGGUUUAUGUUUUAGAGACUCGCGGCACUGUGACGUGCUUAAGCUGGUGAGGUGCAGCUUGGGGCGUUACAACUAUCAUCCACAAACAACAGGUGAUGUAUUGUUGGAGUAGAAGGUGACAUAGUGAGACCCCUGAUAGUCCCAUUCUGAACAGAAGAUGAAAUCAAAGCAGAAAGACCUUCUGCACAGAGAAUAAAAAGAUACGGGGACAAAGGAUCCCCCUGUCUGAUACCCCUUGUUGGCAAGAUGAAACCAGUAGGAUUACCAUUAAUUAGGAUGGAGUAACUUACAGACUUAACAGUAGCCAAGAUCACGUCCACCCAAGCUCUACAGAAACCAAGUUUAACUAGAAUAGCCUCCAAAUAACUCCCCUCAAGCCUGUCAUAGGCCUUAGAGAUAUCCAAUGUUGGAUUGUUGGAGGCAAAUCAUGAUAACUUAGUGAAAAACAUGUGUUUCAAUCUCUUCUAGCUCCCAUAACUUACUAUUCAAAACAUCUUUGCACUCUUUAAUUGUUUUCUUGUCGUGCAUGAGGCUACCUAAUGUUUUUGCAGCAAGAAGCAAGCCAUCACACUUUUUUACGAUCUCUUGACCAGUGUUUUGAAACAUUUUAGACUUACUACUUAUGUCCAUGCCUGCAUGAUAAUAGAACAAUGACAAACAAAAUUCUUCACUCAACUGCUUCAAAUGUAUCAUUUGAGUGGUUGCUUUCAUCAUAGUAGCAACCUCCUCCUUUCGUGUGGUCACCAGUAUUCUACUACCCCUGGCACCAUUACGUAAAGGUUUGAUCAAGUCUUCCCACUGACGAAGGUUUGGACUCCAAACAUCAUCCAAGAAGAAACUUUUUGCCUUCAAUCAAUUCAUAUAUGCAUUGCAUUAAAAGUUUCCAGCUUAUUUGAAAGGUUUGAGGUAUUGCUCUUAUCAAGACUUUCAAGGAUAGCUUUAGCAAUCUUUAUCUCUUCAAAAGGGUCUGAGACACAGACCCAAAUUCUCUUAUGGAAAUGAGUCUUCACCAUUUCGUCAUUGAAGACUAGUUGGGAAAGAGUUGUCUUCCCCAUUCCCCCCAUCCCUUCAAUAGGGAUGAUAGAGGGACCUCAGAGUCUUGACUACUCUCACUUAAUUAGCAACUUGCUUACUAUGCUGCUUUUUUCCUUAGCUCGAUCAAAUGUUUUGUCACCAGAAAAAAAGUAGUUUUUUGUCGUUCAGGAAGUACUUCUGGGCCUCUUGUGAUGUUUUGAAUGUUGAAACUCUGUUUUUCCUUAUUGAUUAAAGCUAAUCUUUCAUUUAGGUCUUUUAUCCUCACAGCAAUGUGGCGACGAUGACUUAACUUUCUCACUCGACCAAAACAAAAGCAAGAGGAGGGAAAUAGCAAGCAUACCUUCU